AAUGGUAAGUUAUAUGUGAACAUUAAAUAAUCUUAUUUUUUGCAGUAUCUUUCUUUGUUUUUCCAUAGGCUAUAUAACGAACCCAAAAGCACUUUUAAGAGCUUAUCUAUCUUUCAUCUAUCUAUCUAUCUAUCUAUCUAUCUACACUAUCUGAUGAGCUCCUUGAAAACUUACAAGCUCGAGAGGUAAAAUAAAGUCAUCAUACAGUACAUACAUUGAGUUCAAUAUAUUUUCCUGUUGGUUUAAUAUUAUUAAGUCACAAUCAAUAUUAAUUUUGCCAUUACUGUUAAUGUAUCGGUCAGUAGUAAGCAGUUUUUACCCUAACAAGACAUUAAGUUAUAUUUCUUGAAUUACUGGCUGGUCAUUUUUAUGCACUUAGGGAAGACUGGGCAAGAGCAAUGUGCAUCCUCUACCCUCACCCCCUACUGUUCAGUGGAGAAAGAGGGACAGCCAAGGGGAAAUACUUUACAAAUAUCCAAGAGCCAAAAGGGCAGCAACUGUAGAAAGCGAGUAUAAUGUACUUACUAAUGUACUUACUGUAAACGCAAAUCUCUCUCUCUCCCACUCUCUCUCUCUCUCUCUCUCUCUCUCUCUAUAUAUAUAUAUAUAUAUAUACAGUAUAUGUUUGCUAUGCAGUAUUUAAAAUGAUGUCAAAUUGUGCUUCUGUUUUGUAAAUAGGACUAAAAAGAGACCACACCAAUAUUUCAGGUAAUGUUUACAUAAAAAUUAUGUUGUGUAUAUGUGUAUUUCUUUUGUGUUUAUUUCCUUCUUACAUUUGUUCUGGCAGGUCCAUUUGUUAUGGAAGAUGACUUGAAUGGUGGCCCUGCAAAUGCCUCUGAAACAGCUGAUACUAUUCUUGAAGAGCUAAAGAGGCUGUUGGACACUAAGGAAGAUGAUGCAAAUGUUGUCCCAAUUCAAGAUCAUCAACCUCGGUCUAUAUCUAAUGACUGGGCCAUUAGAACUGAAAUGAGGGCGGAGAGAUGGAAAGAAGCUAGAUCUUCUCUUGUGGAGAACAUUUUGAAAGGAGAAGAUGCCAGUUCCUCAUCCUGCCAACAGUGCAGAUCAAAUGCGGCUGUUGUGCGCUGUAGGGACUGCCUCCCUUACCCUUUCCUCUGUGCAGAAUGA
Long non-coding RNA from Cyprinus carpio (common carp), 1125 nucleotides. NCBI's taxonomy places the organism in Eukaryota, Metazoa, Chordata, Actinopteri, Cypriniformes, Cyprinidae. The record is from Ensembl.